Molecule: non-coding RNA, 73 nt
Organism: Trichonephila clavata
Lineage: Eukaryota; Metazoa; Arthropoda; Arachnida; Araneae; Nephilidae
Source: the annotation of a GenBank genome assembly
AUCCCUGUAGAGAAUUGGAUAGCACGUUGGACUGCUAAUCCGAAGGUCAUGGGUUCGAGUCCUAUCUGGGAUG